This is a non-coding RNA of Vicia faba (fava bean), 270 nucleotides long. Lineage: Eukaryota; Viridiplantae; Streptophyta; Magnoliopsida; Fabales; Fabaceae. The record is from the annotation of a GenBank genome assembly.
AUGCAAGGUCUCAAGACCUUCACCAAUGAGCACGUGCGCGACAUAGUGGCGACACUCUCCUUACGCGGGCAUCAUGGAAAGGAGUUCAAAAGAGAUUCAUGUGAUUUCCCCGCGAACAUAAAACACUCUCUCGCAAGGACCCCAAGAAGACAAGCUCAAGAUUCCGCGCUUUCUCUGCGGAUGCGAAGCACCCUCUUGCGGGCACCUCGAGGAGAUUAACAUCAUUUAUACUGUUUGCUCUCAUCUUUGCUGUGUUAUGUUCAAUAUUAG